GAUGAACGCUGGCGGCGUGCCUAAUACAUGCAAGUCGAGCGAAUGGAUUAAGAGCUUGCUCUUAUGAAGUUAGCGGCGGACGGGUGAGUAACACGUGGGUAACCUGCCCAUAAGACUGGGAUAACUCCGGGAAACCGGGGCUAAUACCGGAUAACAUUUUGAACCGCAUGGUUCGAAAUUGAAAGGCCGCUUCGGCUGUCACUUAUGGAUGGACCCGCGUCGCAUUAGCUAGUUGGUGAGGUAACGGCUCACCAAGGCAACGAUGCGUAGCCGACCUGAGAGGGUGAUCGGCCACACUGGGACUGAGACACGGCCCAGACUCCUACGAGAGGCAGCAGUAGGGAAUCUUCCGCAAUGGACGAAAGUCUGACGGAGCAACGCCGCGUGAGUGAUGAUGGCUUUCGGGUCGUAAAACUCUGUUGUUAGGGAAGAACAAGUGCUAGUUGAAUAAGCUGGCACCUUGACGGUACCUAACCAGAAAGCCACGGCUAACUACGUGCCAGCCGCCGCCGUAA
RNAcentral lists this ribosomal RNA (515 nucleotides) under uncultured bacterium. RNAcentral's name for it is "partial 16S ribosomal RNA". It matches the Rfam family "Bacterial small subunit ribosomal RNA", at positions 28 to 523 of the family's 1533-position model. The record is from RNAcentral.